RNAcentral lists this transfer RNA (62 nucleotides) under Scaphoideus varius. RNAcentral describes it as "tRNA-Gly". Lineage: Eukaryota; Metazoa; Arthropoda; Insecta; Hemiptera; Cicadellidae. The record is from RNAcentral.
AUUCAUUUAGUAUAAAAAGUAUAUUAAGCUUCCAACUUAAGGGUUUAUUAAUAAAAUGAAUU